UAUGAACCGUUAUAACCGGCGAUGUCCGAAUGGGGAAACCCAGUGCAAUUCGUUGCACUAUCGUUAACUGAAUACAUAGGUUAACGAGGCGAACCGGGGGAACUGAAACAUCUAAGUACCCCGAGGAAAAGAAAUCAACCGAGAUUCCCCCAGUAGCGGCGAGCGAACGGGGAGCAGCCCAGAGUCUGAAUCAGCUUGUGUGUUAGUGGAACGGUCUGGAAAGUCCGACGGUACAGGGUGAUAGUC
RNAcentral lists this ribosomal RNA (246 nucleotides) under Klebsiella pneumoniae. RNAcentral's name for it is "partial 23S ribosomal RNA". It matches the Rfam family "Bacterial large subunit ribosomal RNA", at positions 89 to 372 of the family's 2925-position model. Lineage: Bacteria; Pseudomonadati; Pseudomonadota; Gammaproteobacteria; Enterobacterales; Enterobacteriaceae. The record is from RNAcentral.